This 875-nucleotide ribosomal RNA is filed under the name uncultured bacterium. Its description in RNAcentral is "bacterial SSU rRNA". It matches the Rfam family "Bacterial small subunit ribosomal RNA", at positions 216 to 1118 of the family's 1533-position model. The record is from RNAcentral.
CGCUAAAAGAUGAGCCUGUGGAGGAUUAGGUAGUUGGUAUUGGGUAAAAGCCUACCAAGCCUAUGAUCCUUAGCUGUUCUGAGAGGUUGUACAGCCACACUGGGACUGAGACAAGGCCCAGGCUCCAUUCGGAGCCAGCAGUGAGGAAUUUUGGACAAUGAGCGAAAGCUUGAUCCAGCAAUACUACAUGAGUGAAGAAGGCUUUCAAGUUGUAAAACUCUUUGGUUGGGGAGGAUAAUGACAGUACUCAACAAAAUAGCCCCGGCUAACUUCGUGCCAGCAGCCGCGGUAAGACGAAGGGGGCGAGCGUUAUCCGGAAUGACUGGGCGUAAAGGGUCCGUAGGCAGUAUUUUUUGUUAGAGGUAAAAGAAAAAAGCUCAACUUUUUUUGGCUUCUAAAACGUAAACGCUUUGAGUUUGAAAGGGGAUAGCAGAAUUUCACAUGGAGGGGUGAUAUCCGUAGAUAUGUGAAGGAAUACCAGAGGCGAAGGCGGCUAUCUAGUUCAAUACUGACGUUGAGGGACGAAAGCAUAAAAAGCAAACAGGAUUAGAUACCCUGGUGGUCCAUGCCUUAAAAGAGGGGUGCUCGUGUUUAGAGAUUUUUAGGCAAUUAGUUAACACGUUAAGCACUCCGCCUGGGGAGUACGACCGCAAGGUUGGAACUCAAAGGAAUUGACGGGGGUCUAUACAAGUGGUGGAGCAUGUGGUUUAAUGCGACAAUACGCGCGAAACCUUACCAGUUCUUGACAUAGAAAAGAAAAACUCUGAAAGGAGAAUUUUAAAGAUUUUUACAGGUGCUGCAAAAAAGUCGUCAGCUCGUGUCGUGAGAUGUUAGGUUAACUCUUUUUAACGGGCGAAACCCCUGUUUUUAGUUGC